RNAcentral lists this ribosomal RNA (253 nucleotides) under uncultured bacterium. RNAcentral describes it as "partial 16S ribosomal RNA". It matches the Rfam family "Bacterial small subunit ribosomal RNA", at positions 524 to 776 of the family's 1533-position model. The record is from RNAcentral.
UACGUAGGGGGCUAGCGUUGUCCGGAAUCAUUGGGCGUAAAGAGCGUGUAGGCGGUCCGGUAAGUCCGCUGUGAAGGUCGGGGGCUCAACCCUCGAAUGCCGGUGGAUACUGUCGGGCUAGAGUGCGGAAGAGGCGAGUGGAAUUCUUGGUGUAGCGGUGAAAUGCGCAGAUAUCAGGAGGAACACCUAUUGCGAAGGCAGCUCGCUGGGACGUAACUGACGCUGAGACGCGAAAGCGUGGGGAGCAAACAGG